This is a long non-coding RNA of Eleginops maclovinus (Patagonian blennie), 1049 nucleotides long. RefSeq lists it as uncharacterized. Lineage: Eukaryota; Metazoa; Chordata; Actinopteri; Perciformes; Eleginopidae. The transcript is spliced from 4 exons. The record is from RefSeq and is a predicted model, not a curated record.
UUGUAUCUUUCUGGGACGGGAUGUAAAAAUAGUUACAGAUGACAUGCAGCACAUCGAGAAUGCUAAGGCACGUAGCUUUUAUUUUGUUUUCGUAAAGUUUUAACAUCUGUCAGUGGAGAGAAACUUUUGUUGUGACCGCUGUGUGUUUCACCUUGCUCCAAUUCCGUCCAGUGUGGAUUCUGUGACGUUCAGGACUGAUCAAUGGCCACAGCUCCACCACCACCACCACCACCACCACCCCUCCCCCCUCCAUGCUCUGUGAACCAGGGUAGUUUUGUCCCUCCUCCACCUCGCCCUCAGCAUGCUGCAAUGCCAUUUGUCACCCCUCCAGUCCAAGAGACAAAUCCUUCACCAGAUUCUUUACAGGAUGCAGAGUGUGCACCAGCUCCACCACUGCUGCUUGAUCAAAAUGGACCCCAGUUUCCUCCAAAGGAAGGACACAUUGGCAAUCCCUCUGAUAAUGAGGAGUCCCACCCAGUGCAGGAAACUGAGCCUACAUCAUAGAGGAGAAGGCUGAAACAGCCAUUCAGAAGGACCAGGCCGAAGAGAAACCGACUGUCCUACAGCUCUACAAUUAUUAAUAUUUGCAGCUAAAUUUAUCAUGUAGUGCUUUUCCUUGUUUAUGCACAUUUUUGCCAUAUAGUUAGUAGAUCCUUGUAAAACUCUUUUUUCUUCUGUUUCAAACUGGGUACGUUGAAAAAUAUGCAGUCAUGGGUAUUUACCCGGGAGAAUAUGUUUUGGUUGAAUUUAGGGAAUUGUAUGGUGAAACAUUUUUACCUUAAGCCUUUAAUCGAGACAUCUUGAUAUCUGUAGCUUAAUUUUAGCACUUUGUUGAACUAACUCCUCUGAGCUUGUUUUAUGAAAGCAUGUUCAAUAGGCUACUUAAUAGUGAAACAAUGUAUGCACAGUCACUAUGCUUAGAGAACUUGGAUGAAAUACAGUUUUUUGCUUUAUAAAUUGUAUUGUUUAUUUAAAAGCACAUUUUUAACAAAUUGUUUUUUGUCUCUUUCCCAAUUGUUUGAAUAAACUGAACUUAAGCCUGCUUUAAA